UCUGUGUUCAGUCACGGCGACCAUCAGUCUCGAUCGAUCGUCCGACUUAACCGGAGAAACUCAUCCCAAUCAGUUAAUCAUAAGAUAUAUAUCAUUCCUUAUUACUUAGUAUAUUUUUUGGACAUGGGAGUAUACGUUCAUGGUGUCGUUUAAACACGUGUUCAUUGUAUACUCUAGGUGAGCUCUAAGAUAUAGAUAAAGACUAACCCAAUGUGUUUUACACUUGGAAUAUAUUUCUAAUGUCUAUUCAAAUAUAGCACUUGGCACUUAGCAGGGAGUUGUGUCUUUCGAAUAAGGAGGUAUAGAUAGGAGAGGGGAAAGGAAAAGAAGGGAACGAUUGAUGAUCUAAAAAAAAACAAAAAAAAAAAAAAAAAAAGAAAAAAAAGGAAGGAUCAAUUAUUCAUUGAGGAAAAUUAUUGAAUGAUUUUGAUCUCUUGUUAGGCGUCUAUCAAAAGGAAGAAGAAAAAAAAAAAAAAAAAGAGAAUGAUCACUCGUAAACGUUAAAAAAAUUUACUAAACGAUUCCGAUCGAUUCAGUAAAGAAAAGGAAUAAUGAAAAAAAAAUUAUAUUUACACUGUGAUUCACUCGCAAUGAUUUCCAAACGAAUGAUUUUAAUUUUGCGAUGAACCGAAAGAGAGAGAGAGAGAGAGAGAUAGAGAGAGAAAAAAAAAACCUGAAGGGAAGAAAAAUUCCUGAGAGUCCUGUUCGCUAAAAAAAAAAAAGAAAAAAAAAAAGAUCCAUUCCAAAAACACUUCUAAAAAAAGGAUUGCUCGUUGUUGCAUCAAAAAAAAAAAAAAAAAAAAAAAAAGAGAGAGAAACCAAACUAUUUUCUCUUAGGACGAUCUAAAAUACUAGGAACAAAGGAAGUACACUCAAGGGGCAGCCACUAAAAUGAACCAAUACACCCCGCUAUUCGACACUUACAGAUUUCAAGGCACACAUGUAUGUGUUCCGAAAGAAGAAAAAAGGAAAAAGAAAAAAAAAACCCGAGAAAGAAAAAAAGAAAAGGAAGAACACUACAUUAAGAAAGAAGGAAAAAGAACAGCGGCAAUAACAACAGCAACAGCAAUAGCAACAGCAACAACAAUAAUAACAACACUUAUCGAACAAAAUCAAAAACACCACACCUGCUGGAACAAUAAAAUAUUUUCAUUCACUUGAAACGUCGUAGUCCGCAAUGUUCAUCCAAAAAGAUUAAGCUGAACGUCUAGCUGCAUUUAAACCCAACACACGCUUACUCACACACUCGUACACAUAUAUAUACACAUACACACACGCACACAUACCGCACGCACGCGCACGAGUCUACAUAUACUUAUGUGUAUAUGUGUAUAUAUAUAUAUAUAUGUAUUCACACAUAUAUAUAUAUAUAUAUAUAUAUGGAUGUACCUCAGCAAGAGGUAGUCUCUUCUAUCUAAAUUGCCAAGACAUACUGAAGUUCAACAUCGGAGCAGCACCAGCAACCAGCAACCAACGGCAGCAGCAGCAGCAGCAGCAGCAGCAGCAGCGGCGACGGCGGCGGCUACAGCAACAGCAACGGCACGCCAAAAGGAAACCAUCACUACCACCCCCUUCACACCCCUUCUCUAAAUCAUUCCACCUCUUUCCUCAACCAACCAAUUCCAUCCCCACUCUGAUACGUUUCCGCAUGAUGCAGUGGUUCUCAAAACUCUUAUUCCCAAUAUCUCAUACCAUUCCUUCUAUACCUCAGCGACCUAUUGUGCAAUUUGUCGAUUUAAACAAAACUUUAUUCUUUCUUUUUUUGCUUUACGGUAUUAAUUUUUCUUUCAAAUUUUCUUUAAACGGAUUGGAACGACAGGUUAUUCCGCAGGAGAGAGAACGGGAGUAAAUAAGAAGAAAAAAAAAAGGGGGAGAGUGAGAGAGAGAGAGAGAGAGAGAGAGAGAGAGAGAGAGAGAGA
Long non-coding RNA from Vespa crabro (European hornet), 1919 nucleotides. RefSeq lists it as uncharacterized. NCBI's taxonomy places the organism in Eukaryota, Metazoa, Arthropoda, Insecta, Hymenoptera, Vespidae. The record is from RefSeq and is a predicted model, not a curated record. The transcript is spliced from 2 exons.